GCGUGCGACCUGGGUAAAAGGGUGAAAGUCUAAUCAAACCAUCUAGUAGCUGGUUCCCUCCAAAGUUUCCCUCACCAUAGGUG
This is a long non-coding RNA of Sphaerodactylus townsendi, 83 nucleotides long. RefSeq lists it as uncharacterized. The transcript has 3 exons. The record is from RefSeq and is a predicted model, not a curated record. Lineage: Eukaryota; Metazoa; Chordata; Lepidosauria; Squamata; Sphaerodactylidae.